CCAGACUCCUACGGGAGGCAGCAGUGGGGAAUAUUGCACAAUGGGCGCAAGCCUGAUGCAGCCAUGCCGCGUGUAUGAAGAAGGCCUUCGGGUUGUAAAGUACUUUCAGUCGGGAGGAAGGUGGUAAGGUUAAUAACCUUGUUGAUUGACGUUACCCGCAGAAGAAGCACCGGCUAACUCCGUGCCAGCAGCCGCGGUAAUACGGAGGGUGCAAGCGUUAAUCGGAAUUACUGGGCGUAAAGCGCACGCAGGCGGUCUGUCAAGUCGGAUGUGAAAUCCCCGGGCUCAACCUGGGAACUGCAUUCGAAACUGGCAGGCUGGAGUCUUGUAGAGGGGGGUAGAAUUCCAGGUGUAGCGGUGAAAUGCGUAGAGAUCUGGAGGAAUACCGGUGGCGAAGGCGGCCCCCUGGACAAAGACUGACGCUCAGGUGCGAAAGCGUGGGGAGCAAACAGGAUUAGAUACCCCUGUAGC
RNAcentral lists this ribosomal RNA (471 nucleotides) under uncultured bacterium. RNAcentral describes it as "bacterial SSU rRNA". It matches the Rfam family "Bacterial small subunit ribosomal RNA", at positions 331 to 794 of the family's 1533-position model. The record is from RNAcentral.